Parus major (Great Tit) is the source of this 3672-nucleotide long non-coding RNA. RefSeq lists it as uncharacterized. The record is from RefSeq and is a predicted model, not a curated record. The transcript has 3 exons. NCBI's taxonomy places the organism in Eukaryota, Metazoa, Chordata, Aves, Passeriformes, Paridae.
GCCAGGCCCCUCCAGCCCAGUUUUAUGGGUGAGAAGGAUCAAAGGGCUCCAAGUGCUCCCAUAUGGUAAAUGGCCCUAUAUGUUGUGUAUAAUUACACACAAGCAUCCCCACAUCCAUGUUCGGUCUCUAUUAAAGAUCCCUGGGCAGCAGCCAGCGCUGUUUUCCCAGGACAGGAACAUUCCAGACGUCACGGCAGUGGCGUCACACUCUCGCACGCACGGCCUGGGAGCCAGGACACACCUGCCCGAGGCACGGGAUCCCCCCCACUGCCCUCAUCCUGCCUCCCAGAGCUGGGAUGGGGCAAUUCCAGGGACAGUGGAGCCUUUCCUCUGGACACCAGCUGGGAAAGGUGUUUUCCAGCCACAGGGUGGCAGCUGAUGGAAGCGUUAGUGAUGCAGUCCUCCUGAGCAGUGAGCUUGUGCAAAAGUGUUGGAAUCACAAGUGGAAAGGACUCAGUGUAAUAUUCCAUCACUUCAGGAUUUCGCUUCUUACACAGACAAAAGGACAAAAACUCCAGAAUGUGGCUGGUUUGUGCUCGUCUGUGCACACUUUCAGGAUGCCUCUGGAAAACAAACUUUAGGUUCACUCUGUCUCCUCUUGGAGCUUCACCUUUGCCUCUGCAUUUCCUGAAGUGGAGUCUGUGGUUUCUGAAUUGUUUUACUAUGACUUUGUCUUGUUUUCCCUCCAGAGCUGUGGUCUUUGCUUACAUUCUCUGAAUGGCAAAGCCCAUUUGUUUCUUUUUAUACUUCUGUCAGCUUAAAUUUCCAUCAGCCCUCUUCUCUGCUUGUGGUCUCUGAUCCCCACUCAGACCUUAUCUCAAAUUAGGGAUUCCACAGGCUUCUGUAAAAUGAGGAUCAACUUAAAUUCUCAGAUUAAGUAAAAUGAAUAAUUAAAAUAAAAAUUCUGUCUCUAUUUUUCUGUUCCUCACCCAAUGUGAGGAUCAUCUCCUAUUUCUGAUCUGAAAAUAUAAUUUGAAAAGGUAUUUUUUUCCUCACUGACGUUUUUGGUAGCUCCACCUGCACAGAUUUCUUUCUUGAACUUUUUCCUGAGGCCCAUGGACAUUAGGAUGGGGGAAGCUGAGUACAGAUUUGUUCCAUAUUCUCUCUGUGGCCUCAGGGCAUAUUUAACAGUGUGGUAGAAAGACAGUUUCCCAGAGACAAACUUCAUAGAAAUUAAUAAAUUUUUAAUAACAUUUAUAAAAUUAAUCAAAGUUGUUUUGUUUUUCCCAGACUCCCUUUACUCAUUCUCACAGAAAUUUAGUCAAUAGCUAUGAGCAGAUGAAUCCUCACCAAGCGUGAAUUCCCUUCCCCUGAGCUCUGUUCUUCCAACGUGUCCUGACUGCCCAUUAUGGGCAUGGAGGACACAGACCCACCAUCCAAAAGACAAAUAUUUAAUGGGGUGGCUGUAAAAGGAGUGAUCUUGUGGUGUUUUCUUUUCCACAGAGACUUCCUGAGGGCUUCUCUGUGGAAGACUCACUCCCUUUACUUAUAUUGUUAUUAAUAUAAAUAAGUUGAUUAAGUGUCUUGUUUAAAUUGCAUUUAUCACAUUCAUCCUUGUUGAAAAACCCUCUUCAAAAAUCUGAGUGGCUGGAGCAUUUGAAGAGAAGUGUUAUACUCACAAGAGUGAUAAUGAGAUAGGUGCAGCUGGGAAUCAGGUAUAUGAGAAUUACUGAACACUUGGCAAAGACUGUUAUUCUCUUUCUCCCCCUCCUUCCCUUCUAAUGAUUAAAAAUAAAUUAGGACAGAUAUUUGUACACCACCAACAGAAGCCUGUUUGUUAUGUCUUACACAGUUCUUUCUGGUUGUAGGUUCUUAUUAAUUUCUUUUUUUGUUUCUUUAAAUUACUGAGGAGUAUUUUCUAACACCUCUUCAUGCCAUCCCUUUCUUGGAAAUUGAUGGUGUCUAUGACCCUGUGCCUCCACACAGGAACCUCAGCCUUUCCUUGGAUGUCACCUACAUUUUUUCUGAGAUUUUGAUCAACACAUAUAUAUUUUUCUUUCUACAUUGUGAAUAUGGUAGUGGCCUUAAGCAAGUGGAAAACAGCCCAGCCUCCCUGUAUGGAAUUUCCCAGGACAAGCUGGGUAUGGAAUAGCUUCAGUGCCAUUCCCUGGCUCUCCUAGUCCCAGAUGGGUGGAGGCAGAAGGCAUCAAGAGCAUUGAGCACUCAAACUCCUCUGGGCUGAAGGGACAUCCUCUGUGCAGUUCUCCAGCUCAGAAGAUAAAUGAGACUCUGGUAGUCUUCUGAAAUUCUUUUGCCCAAAGAAGGGAUAAAAUUGUUUUCAGCGGCUCCAGAAUCCGUGAAAUAAUGUAAACAAGAAUCAUGAUUCUUCUUGCAGAUCCAUUGAUCCACAUGUGUGGUAAGAAAGAUUAAGGAUGAGUUUCUUGUAAACCCAUCACUGAUGAGUUUUAACCACCUGGUGCAGGAAUAGCUGUUCCAUGAGUCAUGUACAGCACGCACAAAUCCUCUCAGCAGCCACAGCCAGAGGGUUACACAAGCCCCAUUCAGCACCACCCCUUCUCGUGUGGGUUCUUCCCUGCUUUUUGGUAUAUUCACUUUGAAAAGAUUGAUAGAAAGAUGAAAAUAUAAGAAAGAAAAAUGGCAACAUAAAAAUCUGCUUUAUGCUUCUAAUUUCUUGUUCCUGUUAGUCACUCUGGUCAUAUCCUCAGCUAAGUGGAGUCUAACUGAACAAUAGAUCAGCCUGGAUGGCAGCUCUGCUGCUGUAUUACCAACCCAACAAACGGCAUUUUUCCUUCUAGCAAGUUCCUUUAUCAGACCAGUAACAAGAUGUCAUACAGAUGUUAAAAGAUUACCCAUUAGUAAAAAUACUCCAGAAGAAAAUCAAUAUAUUUAGACAGCAUUCCUACUUGAGUAAGAAAGAAAUGCUGUUGCAGGCGUAAGAAAUCAGCUUGAGAGUUCCUAGGAAUGUGUUGUUGAAUGGUUUUUUUUGGCCUACAAUCUGUUGAGCACAUUUGCUCCCACAGUUGCAUCUCUGCCACACCACGGUGUCGAGGCACGUAAGGCUCGGGGGGACAGUGAGGAUUCACUGCAAUAAACAAUUGAACCAUCACAGAGACCUGCUUCAGUCACCCAGGCACUGACAACUGACUGCAACAACAAAAGUCCUGGGCAAAGCUGCAGCUCUGGGCCCUCACCUGCCACAGGCUGAGCAAACAAAGGUAAAAGCAUCCUCUGGUUACAGGUUUCCUCCAGUUCUGCCCAGAAGCUUUGAAUCUGUGCAUCCCAAAAUGUUUUCCCCAGUGUUUUACUCUGGCCAUCCCUCUCACGUGGGAGAUGGACUUGGAGAAAGCAUCUGAAUGGCCUCAGGAGACAUUGGAAUUGAGUCUGCCAGGAGAAUCUGAGAGAAGGGUCACAAGGAGGGGACAGAUAUGGUGACUUGGCAUCAUGAAGGAAACUUCAAACUUGUCUCACAAGUCUGCUUGGAAAAGUAGGGCUCUUAAAAACAACCUCUCACCCCAGUGCUGCAGGACCUAGUGCUGCUGUGGAUGACCAGGAUAUUCCCUCCCAGAACAACAAAGAAGAAAAAUCAAAGUUCUGCAUUUUGUCACUGAACUGAGACUUUUAUGUUAAUCCCCCAAAAAAAAUAUGCAUUUCAAUCCCCAGUGUUAAAGUCAUGAGUUUUAUUUUUUCAUUUUGAAAUAAAAAGUUUUUAAC